This 137-nucleotide ribosomal RNA is filed under the name uncultured Trebouxiophyceae. RNAcentral describes it as "partial small subunit ribosomal RNA". It matches the Rfam family "Eukaryotic small subunit ribosomal RNA", at positions 1670 to 1804 of the family's 1831-position model. Lineage: Eukaryota; Viridiplantae; Chlorophyta; Trebouxiophyceae. The record is from RNAcentral.
CGCCCGUCGCUCCUACCGAUUGAGUGUGCUGGUGAAGUGUUCGGAUUGGCAGCUGACCGCGGUCCGCCGCGACCAGCAGCCGAGAAGUUCAUUAAACCCUCCCACUUAGAGGAAGGAGAAGUCGUAACAAGGUUUCC